CUCUAUUGGGAGGCAUUGCCUGCCCAGUGACAACUGUUUAACGGCCGCGGUAUCCUGACCGUGCAAAGGUAGCAUAAUCAUUUGUUCUCUAAAUAAGGACUUGUAUGAAUGGCCCCACGAGGGUUUUACUGUCUCUUACUUUUAAUCAGUGAAAUUGACCUUCCCGUGAAGAGGCGGGAAUGCACAAAUAAGACGAGAAGACCCUAUGGAGCUUUAACUAACCAACCCAAAGAGAAUAGAUUUAACCAUUAAGGAAUAACAACAAUCUCCAUGAGUUGGUAGUUUCGGUUGGGGUGACCUCGGAGAAUAAAAAAUCCUCCGAGCGAUUUUAAAGACUAGACCCACAAGUCAAAUCACUCUAUCGCUCAUUGAUCCAAAAACUUGAUCAACGGAACAAGUUACCCUAGGGAUAACAGCGCAAUCCUAUUCAAGAGUCCAUAUCGACAAUAGGGUUUACGACCUCGAUGUUGGAUCAGGACAUCCUGAUGGUGCAACCGCUAUCAAAGGUUCGUUUGUUCAACGAUUAAAGUCCUACGUGAUCUGAUUCAGACCGGA
RNAcentral lists this ribosomal RNA (555 nucleotides) under Phascolosoma esculenta. RNAcentral's name for it is "partial 16S ribosomal RNA". It matches the Rfam family "Bacterial large subunit ribosomal RNA", at positions 1841 to 2620 of the family's 2925-position model. The record is from RNAcentral. Lineage: Eukaryota; Metazoa; Annelida; Sipuncula; Phascolosomatiformes; Phascolosomatidae.